Molecule: ribosomal RNA, 482 nt
Filed under: uncultured bacterium
Lineage: Bacteria
Description: partial 16S ribosomal RNA
Rfam family: Bacterial small subunit ribosomal RNA
Source: RNAcentral
AUUGAACGCUGGCGGCAUGCCUUACACAUGCAAGUCGAACGGUAACGGGCCUUCGGGUGCCGACGAGUGGCGAACGGGUGAGUAAUACAUCGGAACGUGCCCGAUCGUGGGUGUUAACGAGGCUAAAGCUUUGCUAAUACCGCAUACGAUCUACGGAUGAAAGCAGGGGACCGCAAGGCCUUGCUCGGACGGAGCGGCCGAUGGCAGAUUAGGUAGUUGGUGGGUUAAAAGCUUACCAAGCCGACGAUCUGUAGCUGGUCUGAGAGGAUGAUCAGCCACACUGGGACUGAGACACGGCCCAGACUCCUACGGGAGGCAGCAGUGGGGAAUUUUGGACAAUGGGCGCAAGCCUGAUCCAGCGAUGCCGCGUGCAGGAUGAAGGCGUUCGGGUUGUAAACUGCUUUUGUACGGAACGAAAAGCAUUCUUUUAAUACAGGAGGGUCAUGACGGUACCGUAAGAAUAAGCACCGGCUAACUACGUG